This 509-nucleotide ribosomal RNA is filed under the name uncultured bacterium. RNAcentral's name for it is "partial 16S ribosomal RNA". The record is from RNAcentral.
GGAGUUAGCCGGUGCUUCUUCUGUGAGUGAUGUCCUUCCUGCCGGUUAUUGACCCGCAGGCCUUCUUCCUCACUGAAAGUGCUUUACAACCCGAAGGCCUUCUUCACACACGCGGCAUGGCUGGAUCAGGGUUGCCCCCAUUGUCCAAUAUUCCCCACUGCUGCCUCCCGUAGGAGUCUGGGCCGUGUCUCAGUCCCAGUGUGGCUGAUCAUCCUCUCAGACCAGCUACGGAUCGUCGCCUUGGUGAGCCGUUACCUCACCAACCAGCUAAUCCGACAUAGGCUCAUCCGAUAGCGCGAGGCCCGAAGGUCCCCCGCUUUCCCCCGUAGGGCGUAUGCGGUAUUAGCCUGGGUUUCCCCAGGUUAUCCCCCACUACCCGGGCAGAUUCCUAUGCAUUACUCACCCGUCCGCCGCUCGCCACCAGGGAGCAAGCUCCCCGUGCUGCCGCUCGACUUGCAUGUGUUAGGCCUGCCGCCAGCGUUCAAUCUGAGCCAGGAUCAAAACUCUGA